This 450-nucleotide ribosomal RNA is filed under the name uncultured bacterium. Its description in RNAcentral is "partial 16S ribosomal RNA". It matches the Rfam family "Bacterial small subunit ribosomal RNA", at positions 354 to 796 of the family's 1533-position model. The record is from RNAcentral.
GUGGGGAAUAUUGGACAAUGGGCGAAAGCCUGAUCCAGCCAUGCCGCGUGUGUGAAGAAGGUCUUCGGAUUGUAAAGCACUUUAAGUUGGGAGGAAGGGCAGUAAGUUAAUACCUUGCUGUUUUGACGUUACCGACAGAAUAAGCACCGGCUAACUUCGUGCCAGCAGCCGCGGUAAUACGAAGGGUGCAAGCGUUAAUCGGAAUUACUGGGCGUAAAGCGCGUGUAGGUGGUUUUGUAAGUUGGAGGUGAAAUCCCCGGGCUCAACCUGGGAACUGCCUCCAAAACUGCAUGACUAGAGUACGGUAGAGGGUAGUGGAAUUUCCUGUGUAGCGGUGAAAUGCGUAGAUAUAGGAAGGAACACCAGUGGCGAAGGCGACUACCUGGACUGAUACUGACACUGAGGUGCGAAAGCGUGGGGAGCAAACAGGAUUAGAUACCCGUGUAGUCC